Non-coding RNA from Acanthosepion pharaonis, 109 nucleotides. NCBI's taxonomy places the organism in Eukaryota, Metazoa, Mollusca, Cephalopoda, Sepiida, Sepiidae. The record is from the annotation of a GenBank genome assembly.
GCCACAUCACAUUGAAACACUGGUUCCCAUAUGAUUACUGAAGUUAAGCAAUGUCGAGCCUGGACAGUUCCUAGAUGGGUGACUGCUUGGGAAUAAUAAGUGUUGUAAG